Molecule: non-coding RNA, 557 nt
Organism: Pelobates cultripes (western spadefoot toad)
Lineage: Eukaryota; Metazoa; Chordata; Amphibia; Anura; Pelobatidae
Source: the annotation of a GenBank genome assembly
CUAAUAUAUAAGGGACUGAAAGUCUCCAACCCUCCAAAUUUGUUCCAUUGGCCUUUCCCAUGCUUUGAAUUCUCAUUGCAGUGCUCGGAUUGGUUGAUUCACAAGUCUCACUUCUCUCAGGGUAUUCACAAAUUUUAGGAUGAAAUUGUUUAUCUGAACUGACUGUGUCACUUAUACUUUAAAGGUUACUACAUAACUCCUGCUAUCCUGCCACAACUCCCGCAGUCCAGCCAACCAUAACUCCCACAGUCCAACUCACCAUAACUCCUACAGUCUCCACGACUCCCGCAGUCUAGCCCUCCAUAACUCCCACAAUCCAGCCCACCAUAACUCCCGCUAUCCAGCCCACCAUAACUACCUCUGUCAAGCCUGUCACAAUGUGGUGGAACCAGCCUCGCCACUGGUCACUGGAGAAGACUGAUUGCCAGCCUCGUGCCCUGUGACUAUGGCCCCUGGGAUGUAUUGCCUGCUCUCCUGUACUGCUGAGGAUUGCUACUAACUAGGUGGAUUUGGCUAUGGAGCUUGUGUAGUGCCCUCUGUUGGUAGCAACAGUAAUA